RNAcentral lists this ribosomal RNA (469 nucleotides) under uncultured bacterium. RNAcentral describes it as "partial 16S ribosomal RNA". It matches the Rfam family "Bacterial small subunit ribosomal RNA", at positions 28 to 508 of the family's 1533-position model. The record is from RNAcentral.
GACGAACGCUGGCGGCGUGCUUAACACAUGCAAGUCGAACGGAAAGGCCCUGCUUUUGUGGGGUGCUCGAGUGGCGAACGGGUGAGUAACACGUGAGUAACCUGCCCUUGACUUUGGGAUAACUUCAGGAAACUGGGGCUAAUACCGGAUAGGAGCUCCUGCUGCAUGGUGGGGGUUGGAAAGUUUCGGCGGUUGGGGAUGGACUCGCGGCUUAUCAGCUUGUUGGUGGGGUAGUGGCUUACCAAGGCUUUGACGGGUAGCCGGCCUGAGAAGGUGACCGGCCACAUUGGGACUGAGAUACGGCCCAGACUCCUACGGGAGGCAGCAGGGGGGAAUAUUGCACAAUGGGCGGAAGCCUGAUGCAGCAACGCCGCGUGCGGGAUGACGGCCUUCGGGUUGUAAACCGCUUUCGCCUGUGACGAAGCGUGAGUGACGGUAAUGGGUAAAGAAGCACCGGCUAACUACGUGC